GCAGAUGAAGGCCGUCAAAGAUCACAAGCGCAGCUUGCUAUUGUACAGGUUUAGAAUUUAGAAAGGUGACCUAUUUUUUCAUGUGAACUUACCUAUUCUUUGCUAUUCAGAAUGAUUAUUUAUCUUCCCAUUGCUGUGUUAAUUGAUUCAUAUGCGGUUCUGCUAUUCUGACAAGGAUAUCCAUCAAGGUUAUUUGGAGGGACAUAAUGAAACGUCACAAGUUCUACUUUGCUGAUUCUUUCAGAGAAUUGUUUCAUUACUAAUGCGCUGUCGCGGACAUGUAUUAAUCCCAAAUUCCAAAUCACUCUGGAAUCCAGUCAAAAUCCAGUCAAAAUCACUCCGGAAUCCUUCUCCGUAAUUGAUUCGCAAACUACUCUCAAGGACUGCUCUGAACCUCAAAUAUCGUGGGCACAUGAAGUUGUGGUGUAAUUUUUACAGAAACAAGUGAUCCAGGCAGCAAGGUAUUGAUUGAUGCAACUAUGUUGUAAUGUUUCAGUGACUGUUAAUAUUUUUUUAGGAAGAAUAACCAAUUCAGAUGAUACCCAAGGAGUUCUGGAUGGGAGAUUGUUUAUUUCUACGUCGUGC
RNAcentral lists this ribosomal RNA (585 nucleotides) under Triticum aestivum (bread wheat). RNAcentral's name for it is "partial small subunit ribosomal RNA". Lineage: Eukaryota; Viridiplantae; Streptophyta; Magnoliopsida; Poales; Poaceae. The record is from RNAcentral.